This 253-nucleotide ribosomal RNA is filed under the name uncultured bacterium. RNAcentral describes it as "partial 16S ribosomal RNA". It matches the Rfam family "Bacterial small subunit ribosomal RNA", at positions 524 to 776 of the family's 1533-position model. The record is from RNAcentral.
GACGAACCGUGCGAACGUUGUUCGGAAUCACUGGGCUUAAAGGGCGCGUAGGCGGGCCGGCAAGUCAGGGGUGAAAUCUUCCAGCUCAACUGGAAAAGGGCCUUUGAUACUGUCGGCCUCGAGGGAGGUAGGGGCAUGCGGAACUUCCGGUGGAGCGGUGAAAUGCGUAGAUAUCGGAAGGAACGCCGGUGGCGAAAGCGGCGUGCUGGACCUCUUCUGACGCUGAGGCGCGAAAGCUAGGGGAGCAAACGGG